Molecule: ribosomal RNA, 253 nt
Filed under: uncultured bacterium
Lineage: Bacteria
Description: partial 16S ribosomal RNA
Rfam family: Bacterial small subunit ribosomal RNA
Source: RNAcentral
UACAGGGGGUGCAAACGUUGCUCGGAAUCAUUGGGCGUAAAGCGCACGUAGGCGGUUCGUUAUGUCGGAUGUGAAAGCCUUUGGCUUAACCGAGGAAGUGCAUCCGAAACUGGCGAGCUAGAGUACGAAAGAGGAUCGCGGAAUUCCCGGUGUAGAGGUGAAAUUCGUAGAUAUCGGGAGGAACACCGGUGGCGAAGGCGGCGAUCUGGGUCGAUACUGACGCUGAGGUGCGAAAGCGUGGGGAGCAAACAGG